AUGUACUCUACGAAGAAAAUCAUGAAGGCGCUCUCCAUGGAUUAUGAGAAAAUACAUGUUUGUCCAAAGAAUUGCCUUUUCUUUAGGCAUGAGUAUGCGAAUGACAACUACUGUAGGAAGUGCGGUUCCUCUCGAUAUAUUGAGGUGGUCGAUGAGCAGGGUCAGAAGAAGCAGCGAAAAAUCCCUGCGAAGGUUCUUCGGUAUCUUCAUUUCAUAGAAAGACUGCAGCGACUUUUCAUCACCGAGGAGUCUGCAAAAAUGAUGAAGUGGCACAAGGAAGGGAAAAUGUACAAUCCAAAUAAAAUCGUACAUCCAUCAGAAGGUGAAGCACGGAAGUCAUUCGAUACAGAAUACCCCGAGGAAGCAGCCGAGGCUGGGAAUGUCAGAAUUGCUAUAUCAGGUGAUGGGUUCAAUCCAUAUGGUAUGUCGUCUAAUCCAUACAGCUGA
This 447-nucleotide ribosomal RNA is filed under the name Triticum aestivum (bread wheat). RNAcentral describes it as "partial small subunit ribosomal RNA". Lineage: Eukaryota; Viridiplantae; Streptophyta; Magnoliopsida; Poales; Poaceae. The record is from RNAcentral.